This 497-nucleotide ribosomal RNA is filed under the name uncultured bacterium. Its description in RNAcentral is "partial 16S ribosomal RNA". It matches the Rfam family "Bacterial small subunit ribosomal RNA", at positions 28 to 507 of the family's 1533-position model. The record is from RNAcentral.
GAUGAACGCUGGCGGCGUGCCUAAUACAUGCAAGUCGAGCGAACAGACGAGGAGCUUGCUCCUCUGAUGUUAGCGGCUGACGGGUGAGUAACACGUGGAUAACCUACCUAUAAUACUGGGAUAACUUCGGGAAACCGGAUCUAAUACCGGAUAACAUGUUGAACCGCAUGGUUCAACAGUGAAAGACGGUCUUGCUGUCACUUAUAGAUGGAUCCGCGCCGCAUUAGCUAGUUGGUAAGGUAACGGCUUACCAAGGCAACGAUGCGUAGCCGACCUGAGAGGGUGAUCGGCCACACUGGAACUGAGACACGGUCCAGACUACUACGGGAGGCAGCAGUAGGGAAUCUUCCGCAAUGGGCGAAAGCCUGACGGAGCAACGCCGCGUGAGUGAAGAAGGUCUUCGGAUCGUAAAACUCUGUUAUUAGGGAAGAACAAAUGUGUAAGUAACUAUGCACGUCUUGACGGUACCUAAUCAGAAAGCCACGGCUAACUACGUG